GGAUUGCCCCAGUAACGGCGAGUGAAGCGGCAACAGCUCAAAUUUGAAAUCUGGCCCCAGGCCCGAGUUGUAAUUUGCAGAGGAUGCUUUUGGUGCGGUGCCUUCCAAGUUCCCUAGAACGGGACGCCAGAGAGGGUGAGAGCCCCGUACAGUUGGACACCAAGCCUUUGUAAAGCUCCUUCGACGAGUCGAGUAGUUUGGGAAUGCUGCUCAAAAUGGGAGGUAUAUUUCUUCUAAAGCUAAAUACCGGCCAGAGACCGAUAGCGCACAAGUAGAGUGAUCGAAAGAUGAAAAGCACUUUGAAAAGAGGGUUAAACAGCACGUGAAAUUGUUAAAAGGGAAGCGCUUGUGACCAGACUUGCGUCCGGUGAAUCACCCAGCUCUCGCGGCUGGGGCACUUCGCCGGCUCAGGCCAGCAUCAGCUCGCUGUCGGGGACAAAAGCUUCGGGAACGUAGCUCCCUCCGGGGAGUGUUAUAGCCUGUUGCACAAUACCCUUCGGCGGGCUGAGGUACGCGCUCCGCAAGGAUGCUGGCAUAAUGGUCAUCAGCGACCCGUCUUGAAACACGGACCAAGGAGUCAACCUUAUGUGCGAGUGUUCGGGUGUCAAACCCCUACGCGUAAUGAAAGUGAACGCAGGUGAGAGCUUCGGCGCAUCAUCGACCGAUCCUGAUGUUCUCGGAUGGAUUUGAGUAAGAGCAUAUAGGGUUGGACCCGAAAGAAGGUGAACUAUGCGUGUAUAGGGUGAAGCCAGAGGAAACUCUGGUGGAGGCUCGCAGCGGUUCUGACGUGCAAAUCGAUCGUCAAAUAUGC
RNAcentral lists this ribosomal RNA (811 nucleotides) under Colletotrichum musae. RNAcentral describes it as "partial large subunit ribosomal RNA". It matches the Rfam family "Eukaryotic large subunit ribosomal RNA", at positions 72 to 914 of the family's 3401-position model. The record is from RNAcentral. Lineage: Eukaryota; Fungi; Ascomycota; Sordariomycetes; Glomerellales; Glomerellaceae.